CGGGAAUAUUGCGCAAUGGAGGAAACUCUGACGCAGUGACGCCGCGUGCAGGAAGAAGGUUUUCGGAUUGUAAACUGCUUUAGACAGGGAAGAGAAAGGACAGUACCUGUAGAAUAAGCUCCGGCUAACUACGUGCCAGCAGCCGCGGUAAUACGUAGGGAGCGAGCGUUAUCCGGAUUUAUUGGGUGUAAAGGGUGCGUAGACGGGAAUACAAGUUAGUUGUGAAAUACCUCGGCUUAACUGAGGAACUGCAACUAAAACUAUAUUUCUUGAGUACAGGAGAGGUAAGUGGAAUUCCUAGUGUAGCGGUGAAAUGCGUAGAUAUUAGGAGGAACACCAGUGGCGAAGGCGACUUACUGGACUGAAACUGACGUUGAGGCACGAAAGUGUGGGGAGCAAAC
This 401-nucleotide ribosomal RNA is filed under the name uncultured bacterium. Its description in RNAcentral is "bacterial SSU rRNA". It matches the Rfam family "Bacterial small subunit ribosomal RNA", at positions 356 to 773 of the family's 1533-position model. The record is from RNAcentral.